Molecule: long non-coding RNA, 20518 nt
Organism: Nothobranchius furzeri (turquoise killifish)
Lineage: Eukaryota; Metazoa; Chordata; Actinopteri; Cyprinodontiformes; Nothobranchiidae
Source: RefSeq, a predicted model, not a curated record
AGGAGUCAAUGUUUGAAAGAUCUUGUGUUGAAAACAUUUGGGAAUAAAAGUAAAGGAACUGAACAAAGUUUAGUUGUUACUAAAUAAUAUUUUAAAGGGGACAACAAAUCCAGUUAAUCAGCAAUCUAAAACUGUGCAUUGAGCCUUUAAAAAGCAUAAAACAUUACCUUUUGGUUUUCAUCUGUCCCAGGAGACCUGAUACAGGCCAUUCUAAUCUCUAUUUCAUCCCUGAUCUCAAAAGACCUGUUUACCCUCCCGUUCGGCCCGGACAUGAAUAUGAUAAUGAGCUGCUUGCUGAUUGGUUGGCUCCCCAGAAGCCUGAGUCAGGCCAACCUAGACACUCAAGUUACAGCAGCCGCGUUUAGCGUUAGCAGCAGCUAGUAGCAGCUAGUAUCUUCCAGCAGGUCAUGCUGUUAAAGAUACGGAUUAAUUUUUCAUUAUUCAAGCUAAUAUGUUUGAACCCGACUUAAAAUAAAGUUUAGAUGUUGAAGACCAACCAGCCGUUCACCAGGGACUGGGAAUGACUGUGUCAGAUGGGUUUUCCUGCGAUAAAUGGGAACUCAUGUCAAUGGAGAGGGAGAACAGUUGUUGUCGAGAAGACCACACAGCCACAGACUCUGAUUUCUGCAACACGGCCUACGCUAGCUGUGUGCCACUUGUCACCGCCCAGCUUACCCCUAGGGCUGGCACCUGUAACAAUUGGGGGCUCGUCCAGGAUCCUUUGGAGUAAAGUCACAGCCGGGUGAGGAGUGGAAGUACAGCGUUUGAGAUGUCCAGAACUUCAGGGAAGGCUACAUCAGUGUGUCAUCCAGGGAGUAUCUACCACCAUUGAACAUCAUGGCCACUAAUGCACCACGGCAGGCGCUGAUCGUUAAGAUCCAGAGACAGCUUUCUAAUUUGAGUACAAGUCAGCUACAAACCAUUGUCCUCUCUAUUGAUGACGGCACUGCAAAGGCCAGUGUUGAAGAGCUAAGUGACAUUGACCUGUAUGAGCUGAUCAUCGACUACUUAGAAGUGACAAGUUGAAGGCCAUGGAAGAUGAAGUUUUGUCCCAUAUACUCCUCCUAGAUGACUUGAUCACUAACUUACUGACAUCUACAGAUGCCGAAGAAACUGGAGUUGAGGUUCCAGUCCAUGUCCAGGAGGUCGACCCAACUACUAUUCCCCUUCUUUUUACCUCAGAACUGGCCCUUCCCCCACACAUUCUGUCACACACCCCAGAGACAUUCUACACCCCUUUUCACUUCAUCCUGAAGACCAUCCCCAUCGCCCAUUACCGUUCUCAUCCUCCAGAGAGGACAGAGGCAUCAGUCCAUCACAGAAGAGUCUCACCGCUCCACCACAACCCAUGGAAACUAUUGCUCCUCUACUUGGCAUGGUUAGUCCGUCCUCUAUCUCUAGAAAUCUGGUAUUGAUUCUUAGUGAUGUAGAAAGUCUGCUACCACACAGAGAGUCAGUGGUGGACAAAUAUCAGAUACUGGUUCAGACGUUUCUUAUGGUAACAUGUGUAAGCAAAUUGAUGAAGGGUUACAAGAAGGGUUUUCUGAGUCUGAAGUUAUCAGAAGUGUACUCAAAAUCACAAAACCAGGCACAUUCAGAGGCAUGUUAACUAACAAGAGCCAUUUAAAUGUUGAUGAACUUUAGAGAUUUCUUUGCUCUCCUAUUCGUGACAAAAACAGUAAUGAGAUUUUUCAAGAGCUAGCCAGUGCUAAACAGUCUGAAAAAGAAAGUCCACAACAGUUCAUGUACAGAAUAAUGGGCUUAAAGCAGUGUAUUAUUUUCGAGUCACAACAAGUUGUUACUGGUUUUCACUGUGAUGUGAAACUCGUACAAUGUACUUUUCUCCAUAUGCUCUAUCAAGGGUUAAAUGAAAAAAUGACUAUGUGAGACGUGACUUCAAACCUCACCUUAAUGACAUGCAAGUUAGUGACAACUUCUUACUUGAACAAAUCAGUGUCAACUAGUGAAGAAGCCCAAAGACAGAAAAGACUGGGUACAACUAUUAAGACUAAGACAGUAAGCGUUGCGACUCUUGACAGUGGUGGCAGGACUAAAGACAGUAAGACUGACAAAGAACGACAGACUCAACAAGAUGCUAUUAGGGAACUGACAGCACAGGUGUCCUCACUGACUAGACAUCUUGCCCAAAUGACCAGGCCACCUGACAACGCCUUAUCUGUUGACUCUAGUCCUCAAAGACAUGGUUCACUGGUAACAGCAGAAAACCAAAGCAGAUCUUGUGUACACCAAAAUAAAACUUCCUGUCAACAUUGUUUUGUGUGUGGCCAAACAGGACACACGGCCAUAGGCUGUUUACAACCGAAGGUGUCGGGAAACACGAAGAGGUUGCUGGAGAGGGGCAGCCAGUGACUAGGACAGCCCAUGCGCCCCAUCAAAGAGUCGACCAAAACCUGCAAAGUCAAAGACAACUCAGCCUCCACCACGAAAGAAACUUGCACUACUCAUAGGUAAAAGAUGCAUGGUUUCAUGUGCUCUCAAUGGAGCUUCAGUUCAAAUGCUACUUGAUUCAGGAGCCUAGGUGGCAAUGGCGGGGAAAACCUGGAUGAAAGAGACAUUACCUAAUGUUCCCAUUCAACCACUUGAAUCCCUCCUGUCAGACAAACCACUUAAUCUCUGCUGCAAACGGCACAAAUGUCCCUUUUGGAGGAUGGGCAGACACAGAACUCCAAAUACUAAGUAAAAAUUAUGGACAUGUCACUAUCCAAGUUCCCAUUCUCAUCACCCAGGAGUGUCUUAAUCACCCCAUUUUAGGCAGUAAUGUUAUUGCUGAGACAAUCAAAGCCAUCAAAGACACUGACCCUGAUAUCACAGGUCUACUCAGAGAAGCUUUAAGUGUUGAUGACGGUGUAGCCAAAGCCUUGGUGUCUAUGCUUGACAUUUUGACACUAGCUGACAACUAUGUGGAGUGUAAUGUUAAGACAGGUAAAAAGGGCGUCAUGGUACAUGCAGGUUAGAUUGGUGAAGUUCGCUGCAUAGUGAGAGGCUCUCCAGUGGACGGUGCAACGCUCUUUCAGCCCAGUGUACUGCACAAUUGUCCUGAUAGUUUAGAGUUGUUCCAUGCGUUCAUGGAUGUUCCUAGCGGGUUUACAAUGACUGUCAAAAUUCCUGUAUAGAAUACCACAAAGCAUGACAUUUACCAUCCAUAGAGAAUUACUCUUGGUACACUCAAAGAAGCUACUGAGAUAAAGCCAGACCCAAAGUCCCAACCGUGUGUGAAUGCACAUUCUGCCAAUGUAAGACCAAACCACAAAAAUUGUGACAAAUGGCAAACAAAACAUACAAGUGAAGGAUGGCAUCCACCAGUCAAUUUGUCUUACCUUGGAGAAGAUGAGCAAAGCAUUGUAAGAUACAUGUUGUUUGAUAAAUCUGAUGUUUUCGCCAAAACAGACUCAGACAUUGGCCGUAUUCCAAGUUUGCAACUCAAAAUUAACCUCACAGACAACGUAUCAGUCCAAACAUCUUACAAUUCAAUCCCCAAACCUUUGUACAAAGAGGUGAAAGUCUAUGUCCACAAGCUGCUUGACCAUGGCUGGGUUAGAAGUCCACAUCACCGUACUCCUCACCAGUGGUGUGUGUUAGAAAAAAGGACGUCUUUAUGCGUGUGUGUCAAUUUUAGAGGAUUAAACCGCAAAACAACCCCUGACUGUCAUCCACUCCCACACAUUCAAGACUUGCUGGAUAACUAAGGGGGAUACUCAAGGUUCUCAAUACUAAACCAAGGCAGUGCUUAUCACCAAGGAUUCAUGGAGGAAAACUUCAAACAUCUCACCACUUUUAGCACUCCCUGGGGUUAUAUGGGUGGAACCAUCUCCCACUUGGCCUUACCAAUGCCCCAGCAGUGUUUCAAAGAUGCAUGGAAGGAGUUCUUGAGGGGUUAAGGGAUGAGUGUUGUUCUCCUUACUUAGAUGAUGUGUUCAUUACUCUAAGACUUUUUCUGACCAUGUAAAUGACCUCAGACAUGUUUUACACAGACUUAGAGAACAUGGUGUUAAGUUACGCCCUAAGAAGUGCGAACUGUUUAAAAGGCAUAUCAGGUACUUUGGUCGUCUUGUGACUAACAAAGGUGUCCAGAUAGACCCCAAAGACCUAGAAGUGGUUUACCAGCUUAGAGACCGAGAACCAAAGACUGUGGGAGAAGUGAGAGCCCUCCUCGAGUUCCUAGGUCACUACCGGACAUUUAUUCAGGACUUUUCCAGGUUAGCCAAACCGCUGUUUAAGCUACUUGAGAGUCCCUGUGAGUUAGAUUGCAAACCCAAACAAGUCAGAUCAAACAAGACAAAACAAAACAGUAACACUAGUGGUCAACUUCCCUCAAAGACACCAGUCAAAUGGACUCAAGAACACAGCACAGUAGUGUCACGCUUUGUCCAUAUGCUGACAAGUCCACCUAUUCUCGCAUAUCCAGACUUUGAUUUGCCCUUUUUCCUUCAUACCGAUGCUUCGAGCGAAGGCCUGGAAGCCGUACUUCACCAGCAACAGGGGAGCAACUUAUGUGUCAUAGCAUAUGGUUCCAGAACUCUUACGCCAGCAGAAAAAAACCCAUCACAUUCAUUGUAGCAAGCUUGAGUUUCUCACGUUAAAGUGGGCAAUCUGUGAUAAAUGUAGGGAUUACCUUUAUUACGCUCCCAUUUUCACAGUGUACACAGAUAAUAAUGCCCUCACGUAAGUUUUGAGCAUGGCCAAAUUAAACGUGGUGGGCAUCGGUGGGUGGGUGAGUUAGCGGACUUUCAUUUUUCCAUCAAGUAUCGUCCUGGCAAAUCAAACGCAGACGCUGACACACUGUCCAGAUAUCCCAUCAAACUGCCAGAUCACUUGUCCGAAUAUAAAGAAACCAUGCCCCCAAUGGUCCUAUCUGCAAUUUGGCAAGGGUACAAAGCCAUGAGAGAGAGUGAAGUACCUUGGGUUGCUGCACUAGUGUUCAACUCAAAUGCAAGUGACACACCCCAAGAAGGAACCCCGAUGCUCUCUCCCGAAGACAUCAAAACAGCUCAAAGACAGUAUGUUUCAAUCACAGAGGUGAUACACCUAAAACAAAGAGGAUGGAGUCCUAAUGAAAAAGACAAGAAACAAAUGGCACGUGAAACAAAGAGACUUGUACACGAAUGGAAUAAACGAAAGCUUGACAAAGGACUGCUCUACCGAUGUGCUGGGCAAAGAAAACAGUUCUUCCCACUAAACUGACAAAGACUGUUUAAAAACAUUUGCAUGAUGACAUGGGACAUGUAGGCGCUGACAAAGUCAUUCACUUAGUGAGAGAAUGCUUCUUUUGGCCCUUCAUGCAGUGGGACAUUGAAGAUUAUGUCAUUCGUCAGUGCACAUGUAAUUAACAGAAACGACCAUGUAUACUGGAUAAAGCACCUUUGGGGUCAGUCACCACAAGUACAGCAUUUGAACCCAUAUCAGUUGACUACCUCCAUCUUGAUCCGAGUAAAGGUGGUUAUGAAUAUAUUUUAGUCCUGGUAGAUCAUUUCACACGUUUUGCGCAAGCCUACCCGAGUAAGAAUGAGUCUGGUAAAACUGCUGCUGAAAAGAUCUUCUUUGACUUUAUCCCUAGAUUUGGAUACCCUGAGAAACUCCACCAUGAUCAGGGCCAGGAGUUUGAAAACAGCCUGUUCCAAAGACUCCAACAACUUGCAUGAAUAGCCCAUUCCCGAACAACUCCCUACCACCCUCAAGGGAAUCCUGUUGAGCAGCUAAACAGAACACUACUACAAAUGUUACGCACACUACAUGAAGAAAAGAAAGCAGAGUGGAAAGACCAUCUACCACACAUUCUUCACACAUGUAACUGUACCAGACAUGGAAGCAACUGCGUACUCAUCAUUUUUCCUGCUUUAUGGUAUAGCACCUAGAUUGCCAGUAGACCUAAUCUUUGACAUAAAACCUGAUAGCGAGUGGAAAACAAGAAAAGAGUAUGCAGAAAAAUGGGCAACUCAUAUGCAAGAGGCAUACAAAAUCGCUCCUGAAAACAGCAACAAAAGCUCUGCAAAAGGGAAAAAGCAUUAUGACCAUCAUACAAAAGGCAUCCCUUUACACCAGGAGACCGUGUACUAGUCAGAAAUCUUUCAGAACGUAGAGGUCCCAGUAAACUAAGAGCUUUUUGGGAAAAAUGCAUUCAUUUAGUUGUUGAAAGGAUAGGAGAUGGACCUGUAUAGCGCAUUCAAGCUGAAAUCGGAGAACGUAAUCUUGGAGUCUUGCACAGAAACCUCCUAUUGCUGGUCAAUGAUUUGCCACUGAAACAGGGACAAAGUCAAAAUGUAAACCGGAAAAGACAAAAUCACAAGAAAAAACAAGGGAAAAUUCAAGAAGCUGCUUUGCAAGGGUCAGAACAGUCUGAUGAAGAAGAGGAAUACACUUAUCACUGGCAACGCGUACCUGUGUACAAUAUGAGACCAAGACCUCCAUCUCAAUCACACCCUCAACUCAGAGCUGCAGCCCCUGAAUUUCAACCUGUAACCCAAAGUAUUCAAAACUAUCUAACACACAGGAGCAAUGGACACAACCACAAGUUAAACUACAACGUUCAAAAGUACCAACCCUAGCUAUUGCUCUGACUUCAGCAUGACAAACAGUGCCUACUGUCACAAAACCAGCUGAGAUACCCAUACCGGAUGCAAAUGAUGCUAUGGAAAAUGUGCAUCAAACUGUUCCUAUUGAGGAUAGUGAAAUGGAAAAUAGUGUAUCAGAUGCACAAGUUUGUGACAAUUGGCCUGAAACAACCACACCAGAAGAGGAUGGUACAACAGUACAAAGAUCAGCGAGAACCGUUAAGCCACGAGAAGUGUUCACCUACAAUCAGUUUGGACAACCUUCUUAACACCCUUGGAAUGCAGGAGCGAAUAGGUUUUUUGCCUGUACACCUUACCCCAUGACUUUGUACCCGACACAACCAUACAUGUCCUAUUACCGUACUCCUGUAUGGACAUGUUAGACUUGUGACAAGACUAAAAACUCUUGACAUUUUUGAAGGACCAUAAAUACUGACUCUGACUGUAUAUUGGCCUGACUAUACUCCUAAGUACAAGAUACCGGAGUCAUCUCUUGAAGCAGGGGAAAGUGUAGUAGACUGUAAAAUGCUAUAUUAUAAGUUUUAUGAAAACAGACACCCUUUCUAUUUUAUUUUUUAUUUUUUUGUAUAACAAAGCUUAUAUGUAUUAUGUAAAGUUAAGGUUGCUGUGGUCAUUCCCACCAGCAGAGGGUGCGGUGGCACCACUGCGGGCACAGAGGGCUUCUGCGCAGGCGCAGCUCAGAAUUAAAUGAGCUAUGGUCUGACAACGUUUUUCCCUCAUCUGUAUGUCUAUAAAAGUUAAAAAUUUGAACUUAAACUUGGUCCUAAUAUGAUGUAAAUGAACGUAUAUCCAGGUAAAACCACUGUAAUGGAACGUUGACUGUUCCUGAAGGUUUGAUGACGAGGUAUUUGUGUGUUUUAUAAUGGGCCUGUACCGCCGCCAUUUGGUAGGGUCGCUUUUGUUUUCGUAGAUAAAUUAGCAGUAUGAAACAGAUGUAUUUGAAGCCAAUAAAGGUAUUUUAAAGUACAACUACGGCUUCUAGCAUUUUCACAGAGGUUUGGGUGUAAUAUAAGCAGAAGUAAGGGUUCAAAUUCAAGUUUUUUGAGAUCGCCACGUUGGGUGUUCUUUUGUUCAGCCCGCCGUUUGGAGGGACAUUUUCAUUGAUUUAGCUCAGCGCUUGUGUGUGUGUGUGUGUGUGUGUGUGUGUGUGUGUGUGUGUGUGUGUGUGUGUGUGUGGUGCUUGCUUACAGCCACAGAUUUUAAGCUAAAGCAUGAUGAAGUUCCCUUCACAGCAUCUAAAAAUAUUACAAUGGAUGUAACAUCACUGGUAUCUGUGAUGAUCAAUGAAACUAGGUAAGUAUGUUUGUUCAUCUCAUCUGUGUCUAAUUGUCGGUAAUCUGAAAACUCCUCCUGUAACAAAUCAACCUCAGGAAAUAGCCAUUUCCCAUAAUCUGAUUGAGACAACUUGAGCUGCCAAGCAGCCACUUGACCGGCUGAUAUCAGCUAAUGGAAGUAAGUAGCUGUUAGUGUCAGAAUGCUGCCACACUUGCCUGAGAUGCUGCUCGCAUUAUAGGGAUGUGGGUGGCUGUGGGUUGUUGAUAACAAGCUUCAGGUGACAAGCUGCCACAUUGUGGAGCUGGAAUAGAGAUCAGUGUGGGUCAGGUACAGUUCUUCUCUACAGGUUUUAACCAAAAGGACACCAUUAAGGUUGACAGCAAUCACUGUCUGAAACCCUGACAAACUGCUUCUUUCUCCUGAACCUUCGACGUGGACUCACUUCACAUGACUCACUUACCUAAAGGAAACUCUUUUUUUCUGUUUAUGGAUACAAAGGGGGAUGCUGAAACUAACAUUAAAAACAUCAAAUACAAAUAAAACUACCUGUAAGAGUUUUUAUCUAAAAUUCAUAAACUGUAAGUUUAUAUAUAUAUAUAUAUAUAUAUAAGUUUAUAUAUAUAUAGUUUUCUUUUGCAAACCCAAGAUGCGCUCACGUCCACCUGGUUUUAAAACAAGAUAGCAUUUAAUCCCUUACACUAACAGCUAAAUCUUCUGCUGAUCAAAUCAAUAAAAUCAAAGAUACUUUAUUAAUCCCUUCUCAUAUCUGCUAUGGGGGAUACCGCAGGGUUCAGUACUGGGACCCUUGCUGUUUUAAAUUCAUAUUCUCCCAUUGGGUGACAUUUUACGAAAGUUUGGAAUUGGAUUCCAUCUCUAUGCCGACGACUGCCAAUUGUACUUGCCUCUAGAUGGCGCCGGUGAUCACACAAUACAUUUUUUUUUUUAUUGUUUGGCAGAAAUUAAGAUAUGGUUGGCAGAAAACUUCCUGUGUCUUAAUGGGGAAAAAACAGGCAUUGUUGUUUGGUCCGAGUGGACAUGUAGAUUUUUCAAACGUAGACUGCGGUGAAUUGAACUCAUAUUUGGAUGUUUCAGCAGUCAACCUUGGCGUGAAGCUGGACAGUGCAUUCUGCAUGGAUGCUCAUGUGGGUACUGUACGUAUUCUCUUCAUUUUAUCAUUUAAGACGUUUGGCUAAAGUAAAGCCGUUUUUAUCUAGACGUGACCUUGAGACUGUUGUUCAUGCUUUUAUUACCUCACGACUCGACUAUUGUAAUUCCGUUUUAUUUGGUGUAAGUAAGGGUACUGUAAACCGGCUGCAGCUUGUCCAGAAUGCUGCAGCAAGACUCUUGUUCAACAAAAGGAAGCAUGAACAUGUGACACCAAUUUUGGCUGCUCUCCACUGGUUGCCUGUUGAUUUUAGAAUUCGUUUUAAACUUCUUUUAAUGGUGUUUAAGGCGCUGAACGGUGUGGCUCCGACCUAUUUGACGGAGUUGCUGCAGCCAUAUGUUCCGGCCCGGCCACUCCGCUCUGAGAACCAGCUGCUACUUGUGGCUCCUAAGGCCAGGUUGAAGUUGAGAGGGGACAGGGUGUUCUCUGUUGCGGGUCCGAAACUGUGGAACGCACUGCCCCUAACCAUUAGGGGCUCUCCAUCAGUAGCAGUUUUUAAAAUGAGGCUGAAAACCUACUUUUAUGAUCUGGCUUUUAAUUCUGUGGGUUAGAAAUAGCUAAUGUUUAUAUUUUGUAAUUCUUAUUUGUGGUUUUAAUUAUGUCUGUGGCGCUAUAUGUUUUAUUGUUUUAUUCUUUUGUUGUACAGCACCUAGGUGGCAUGCUCAUGCCUGUAAGGUGUUUUUUAAAUAAAGACUGAUUGAUUGAUUGAUCCCAGAGGGAAAUUAGAGUUUCAGUACACACGAUUGAGAGAUCAGACAUACAUGGGCAAGACACAUGACAAGAAUUGGUGACUGUGGUCAUUCACAACCCUGAGUCGCGCCACCUUAAUAGAGAUAAGAGGGUUACAUGAGGGUUGGUUCAGGUGGAGGGAAAAAAGGCACUUCAAAGUUACCCUCCCACCAGGAGGGCAGCUUUGCUCUGCAAAAAAACACCUCAGACAUAUAUGCAACAGACUUCAGACAACACAACCUAAGUGUCCACUAGGAGGGGUGGUGGGUUGGGACUAUCCCAACUUCAGUUCCUGCAGCCACGAUUAGCAGCACAUGUCACCUCAGUGUGGAUAGGGGGAGGAGCAUUGAGGGCUGGAGGGUUGCAGUGACCCUGGACGCUUCGGCGGCCUUCCCGCUUUUCUGCCCAGGCUGGGAAAGGAGACAGAGUUGAGUUGCCAUAGAGACGGCACAUUCCACAUAUCUUCUGAGGGGGGAGUUUUCGUUGGAGCCCUGCAGGCUCAAGGACGACAGAUUCUGAUUAGAAAUUGUUUUGGGGCCAGACAGAGAUAAUUUCCUCUCUGUCUUACAGUUUGUUGGUCCUCAACCUCUCAAAAUCCCAAUAAUGGACAUUAAACUAUCCCAAUCCGUGCUGAUUCGUCCACUCUCUCCUUGAUGGCAUCCAUCUUUUGUGCCAAAGAAUAAAUCUCCGCUAAAGUUCCAAUGUUACGAUUCAUCUCGACAAUUAUUUGAGUCUGUGAAUUCACAGCGCGGUGCUGUAGUGUGACUGCAAGGCUAGUUUGGAGCUGAGGUGACUAGAGCGAGAGUUCAGCUGUUGUGUGUUGUUUGACCCAAGUGUGGAGUGACUGACACUGAGCAAGACUCACGCAGUUUGAUAAAGAAGCUGAUACGCACAGCUCGUAAGAAGACGAGCGCCCAGCAGUUCCAGAAUAAGAACAGCCAGACCUACAGGAAGUCGGUAAGCUUGGUAAUGUGGGCUGGUCUGGUCUGAGAACUCUGGGCACAUAUCUGUGGGAAUGAUGACUGAGUGAGGUAGGUAGGGAAAGCACUUUCUUUUGUAGAGUUGGUGGGAGAUGUAAACAGGGUGUCCAGUGAUGAGAGUGGAUGAUCUGGUGUUGGGGAUGCUGGGUAAUGGAGUUCUAGUGGUGGGAAUGGCUGGAUUGGCUUGAGGAAGUGCCUUGUGAGAAGGAGGACAUGACAGGACCCCCUUACUGAGGGACAUCUCCUGAAAUACCAGGGCAAUGUGAUCUGCAUGUGAUAAGGGACAGGUUUGGGGCAGACCACAUAAGUUCCCAGGAGCAUUCUUUCGGGUCAUAACCCGCCCAGUCCAAAAAGUGGCUCCCCUGGCCUCGACGGCAGGUGUCCAGUAUGCAAAACACAGUGCAGACCAGGUCGCUGACCAGGUCAUCGGGGUUCUGGGUCCGGUUGGGUCAUAUCGGAGCUAAUCCGAUAAGACAGGUCAUAUCGGAGCUAAUCUAUGGGUUCCUGGUAGCUCGAGGUCCAUGUCCAUCCUGACAUCGUGAUCACCUGGAUCUGAACAGGGAUCUCCACAAAAAGGGUAUCAUAGACUCAACAGAUUGUGUCGGAUGGUUUAAUAAACAAAUCUCCAGUUUACAAACAUACAGCCAAAUUUUUUUACAACCCAGACUUCACAAACUCUCUCAGAUACUUAAGAAAGGUUUUGCUAAAACAUCAAGCUUCCAGUUCAGCAUUCCGCACCUCACAAUGAAUCACUUCAUAUCCAUUACAUUACACAUCAUUAUUCACACCGUGUCAUGCACAAUCAUUAGUCUAGGGAAAUAUAAAUAAAUUAAUUUUCAUUAAUUAAACUCGACUCUGAAUUCAUGUGAUGUGUGUUUAUGGUCCCUGAAUGUAAAAGCAACUAAAAUAUUCUGAUUAAAUGUUCAAAGAUCAAUCAAGUUGAUAUUUCAUUUUUAUAUGGAAUUAUCACAUCUUAUUGGUCAUUUGUUACAUAUGUAGCCACUCCUUAAUGCUACACAGGUCUCUCUUACUUUGCAUUUAUAAAUAUAGCAAUUAUAGCUGCAAAAUUACAGGUAGGGAACGAUCUUUAGAAGCUGUUAAAUGUAAUUGUUUAGCUUACUCACCUCAAAUAGGGCCCAAAAUCUCUGUUUUGGUGAAGCAGCAGUGAAUGCAAUCAGGCUAAUUACUGGAAUGGCUUUGACUAAUUUGUGAAACGCUCUUCAAACCCAGCAUAACCUAGUUCAAAGUACAUCACGUUGGUGAAAGAUUCGCAUGUAAAAGCACUAAACUGCAACGUCUAGCAGCCAAGUGUACCGAUACAUAUAGUUUUAUAUCUAUAUUUAUCAAAUGUGGUGUAGACUUAGCUUGUCUUUGUCAUUUACAAUUUUAUAUUAAAUAACUCGGGGCACCACCCAGUUUUGUCUGUGUGAACUGGGACACUGGAUUUAAUAUUUAUAUCUUCUCAAUGUAAUCAGUCUCAAAGUUAACACCACAUUUUAAUCUGAAAGCUGAGUUCUUGUCAGAAUGUGCCGGCUAUUCUCGAGAUCGCUAGGUAUUGAUCAGGCAUGAUUUAAGUUUUGUGAAUUUAUUACAAACAUCAGUUGUGACACUUGACAAAGAGAACCAAACACAGCUUAUUGUUUCAGGCAUGAGAAUAAGUAAGUGGAUAAACACAAAGCUUUAUGGCAGUGCUAUGAAAUAACUAGCCUGUAAUAAAAGUGAAAAUUUGGUGACACAUAGGAUUUUAUAUUAGGAAUAACUUCUGUAGGGAGAACAAGUGAGCGUGUGUGUGUGUGUGUGUGUGUGUGUGUGUGUGUGUGUGUGUGUGUGUGUGUGUGUGUGUGUGUGUGUGUGUGUGUGUGUGUGUGUGUGUGUGUGUGUGCAUCGCUAUGGGUAUAGGAAUACGGGAGGGUGUGUGUGUGUGUGUGUGUGUGUGUGUGUGUGUGUGUGUGUGUGUGUGUGAAUAAGGAUUCGUGUGCGGCAGAGAAAGACGAUAAAUCUUGAGAGCUAAACGUGAAUGUGGGAUAGAAAUAAACAAGCCAUAAAAGAAAUGGACUAAUCUGAAUUCACGAAUCGAGCUUAGCACAAAAGUCAGCCAGAUUAGAUGUUUCACAGACCUGCUUUUCAUCGCCGGGAGGGUGGCCAGCGGCUCCAACAGCCUUGGGUUCCUGGCUCGUGGCCUUUUUGGAUUAAAUGUUACUGGCUCCCUGUCGGUCUUGAAAGGAGAGGAUGAGGUAAUCGUCCAUCGUGGCUUGACUUUUCGGUUCCUUCACCUCUGCGGCCUCGAAACAUGGAAUUUGGAUCACGGGCCCAAAUUAUUCCAAACCAGAGCUGAAUAAUCAAACUGUGUUCCAAACUGCUUUUACUCUUAAUGUUUCAACGAACAUGCAGACUUCCAAUUUCACGUAGGAAGUCAAAACAAAACAGAGUUUCUUCUAAGUGUAUGCUAUAAAUUUUGAGAGCGACGCUUUGUUAGGCCAAGAAAGAAAAGCCAUGCAGAGAUUUGCUUAAGGCGUCUUUGAUUCUCAAAAUGCCGCCACGAGGUUCGGAUGGGUAUAUAACCUUUAGGGCACGCCCACCUGUAUCUCGCUCAAAAACCACUGGAGGGCACUGUGGCUCUUCCAAAUAAAUUACCUUCUCCAAGAUGAAAUUCCAUUAUCACAAUUUAACACAGUUAUUCAUAUAAAGCCUCAAAAAGUAUUACUUUAGCAUCAAAGUAUUACUUUAAACAGGAAAGAAUGAAAUUCAUGUCUUAAAACUGGACAGUUUUACCAUUAGCAUGAAUUUUAACUGGAGAAACACCAAAUGACAGAGAUUUUACAUGAAAGAAAACACAAAACAGUUUAGGUAUGUGGCGGAUAAGAUUCUAAUUUAGAGCACCUUGAUUUCUAUUUUCAGGGUAAACAACCUAAACACCUUCUUUGAUUGUAGAUAAACAGGAAUGCAAGGUUUAUAAAGACUCAGGUCUUGAAGCUCCCAGGAGGACCGAAAAUAAAUUUUCACGACUUCCCCUAUCUUGAGAAAAGGGUCAGUCUGAGGUUGAUGUAAAACAGCCCAGUCUUCCGAUAUUACUUGCGCCUCCUGAUUGGCGCAGAAGGGAGGCACAGAAGGGAGGCCAGUCAAAUUGGUGCAAUUUACGAUCCUGGAUCCUUCUUCCGGCUCUUGGAAAGUACAGACGCUUUUUUCCUCCUCUCCUCCCUAUCUUAUCCCCAAGGCUCUUUGUCUGUCUUUGGGUGCACGGCUGCUUCUGCAUUUUUUCUGGAAACUGGGAAUUAUUAGGCCCGAGCAGCGAAGCGCUGCGAAGGCCUAUUGUAUCUGCUCCGUUUCUUUUUUAGGCCCGAGCAGCGAAAGCGCUGCGAAGGCCUCUUGUUUUUGCUCUGUUUAUUAGGCCCGAGCAGUGAAGCUGCGAAGGCCUAUUGUAUCUGCUCCGUUUAUUCUUUCUUUCUUUCUUUCUUUCUUUUUUCUUCCGCGUCUUUGAAUGGCCUUUAGGGGGUCUUAGCAUAUUCAAAAAGUCACCAAAUUCUGGCUCAAUAUAGAAAGUGCGUGAAAUUUACGUAUUUCACUGGCGAUGUGAAAGUUCGUAAAAAAGUGGCUGGACAGCGCCCCCUAGAAAGUGAAAAAUACCCCUCUCCAUAAAGCUUAGUUUAUCGUACGGUUAUGAAAUUUGGUAUACUUGUAGUACUCCACAGUCCGCACAGAAAAGUCACUUGCAACCAUGGUCAAUAUCAAACAGGAAGUCGGCCAUUUUGGGUUGAAAUGGCGAAUUUUAGCCAUUUUGGCCAUUUCUAGGGUCUAUAUUUGGUUGAACAGUUUGGUCAUUUUUCGCACGAUCGUCUCAAAAAUAGUGUGCAAUCGAACAGAAGCGAUGGACGAUUCAAAUGAGAAAAUAAAAUUGACUUUUCGUAAAUACUGAAGGGGCGGGGCCAGGCCUCAAAGUUCGAGCACUCGCCAAAAAAAUUCAAAUUGCUAUAAUUUCAUAAAUGAAAGAAUUACAGUUAAAGUAACUUUCUGUGGACAAUCGUCAUCGCCCCCCGAAGACAAAUGAAUGGUCGAUUGAUGAUGUCACAUAAGCCCCGCCCCCUCAGGACUUAAAAGGUCAAGUUUUACUGGGAAAUUUUCUAAAAUUCGCCCUUUCAAAUAAUCAUCCCAAAUUUGUACCAGUUAACUGAAGACAAGUUGGGGUUGCUUGGCGUCACUUUAUGGGAGUUUUCUGCAGAAGGCGGGGCUGUGGCGGCACGGCGAAGUCAGGCGUACCACUUAGGCCUUACGUUUGCCUCCCAUUUCGUCAUUUCUAAAGAUAUCGCCACGAAACUUCUUGGGAGUGAUCCUAGUCCUGCCCCCCAAAAAAUGUGAUGUGAAAAUCCGGUGGGCGUGGCCUAUUUUCUGAAAUAGCGCCCCCUAGGAGCAUUAAAACUGUCAGCCCCAAGCCAUGCUUUGACUGAGGAUUACGAAAUUUGGUACACUAAUGUGGUGUCUCAGGACCUACAAAAAAGUCUCUUGGAGCCAAGAACCAAGUCGCACAGGAAGUCGGCCAUUUUGGUCCAAGUACUCGAUUUAGUGGUUUUCGCACACGUUGUUUGGAGAGUGUUGCACCAUCGCCCUUUUCACCAAUCACCUUCAAACUUCUGCUAUAGACUCUUAAGACAAAGGGGAAAAAAUUCAACCUACGGAUUUUAAAUAAGUAUAAAGGUGUGGGCGUGGCUAAGCCUCAAACUUUGACCUGUCGCCACGCCACUCUUUUUUUUCACCGCUCCCUAUUGGACUCCUUUUAACCAAUCACCACCAUUCACUGGCAAAUAGCAGCAGACAAGUUGAGGUCACUUGGUCUAUAGUACUGGCAGGUUUCGAAUAAAGGCGGGGCUUUGGGAUCAUGGCGAAAUUCACCAUCACGCCAUGGAAAUACGUUUGUGUCUCAUUUCUUCAAUCAUUGUGACAUCACCACACAAUUUCUGAUGAGUGAUCUUACUCUGACCCCUAAUAGAAUUGGACAGCUGAAGUUUGUGGGCGUGGCCUAUUUUCUGAAAUAGCGCCCCCUAGGACCAUUAAAACUAUCAGCCCCAAGCCAUGCUUUGACUGAGGAUCACGAAAUUUGGCACACUAAUGUAGUGUCUCAGGACCUACAAAAAAGUCUCUUGGAGCCAAGUACAAUGUCGCACAGGAGGUCGGCCAUUUUGGUCCAAGUACUCGAUUUAGUGGUUUUUGCACACGUUAUUAGGAGAAUGAUGUCUCGUCGUCCUUUCCACCGAUCACCUUCAAACUCCUUCUAUAUACUCUUAAGACAUAGAGGAAAAAAUUCAACCGUCGGAUUUUAAAUAAGUAUAAAGGUGUGGGCGUGGCUAAGCCUCAAACUUUGACCAGUCGCCAUUACGUUACAUGACUUAAUAACUCCCAUGUGCAUGAUCAGAUCAAUGUCAAACUUUGUCUGUGUGAUCACUGACCACAUGUGAAGACAGUGACAAUGUGGACAGCUGACAUCAUCUAAGCCCCGCCCCCUGACUACAGGAAGUCUACUGUUUUAUGGUGAAAUGCCCAUAUUUGUCCCCUCUAAUUAAGUCAACAUGACACUAAGGUCAUGCACUGUCUUCAUGAUGUUGUAAUGACCAUUCAGAUCUGAUAGCUUUUCAGAAAGGGAGGGGCUUUGAUGCCAUGGCGAUUUCUGGCGUGACGCUGUGACCUUACGUUUGACUGUAACUUCCACAAACAGCCUCCGAUUUGCCCGAGACUGAACAUCACAUCACCAGUGUGGUAAAGAUAGAGUAUCUCCUAGUGGUGAGACGUGUAAUGGUGGGCUCAGAGGGGAUGCUGAGUCAGGGUGAGGUGUGGACGAGGAGGCCGUUCACGGUUUCUGGUGUCGGGGUGGUUGACUUUCUGUUCUGCCAGACGUGCCCUGGUGCCCCCGGCUGCCGGCCAGGACGGAGAAGCGCGGAGCUGGGUUUGGAGAGCGUAGGGGAUGGAGCGGAGGGGGUGCGGAAGGAGGGCGAGCAGCUUCGCUGCGAGGGCCGAACGACGCUGCUUGCAGCUUUAAUUAUUAUUACGCUUUCUUUUUUCUUCCGCGUCUUUGGGUGGCCUUUAGGGGGUCUUAGCAUAUCCAAAAAGUCACCAAAUUCUGGCCCAAUAUAGAAAGUGCGUGAAAUUUACGUAUUUCACUGGCGAUGUGAAAGUUGAUAAAAAAGUGGCUCGACAGCGCCCCCUAAAGAGUGAAAAAUACCCCUCUCCAUAAAGCUUAGUUUAUCGUACAGUUAUGAAAUUUGGUAUACUGGUACUACUCAACAGUCCGCACAAAAAAGCCUCUUGCAACCAUGGUCAAUAUAAAACAGGAAGUCGGCCAUUUUGGGUUGAAAUGGCGAUUUUUAGCCGUUUUGGCCAUUUCUAGGGUCUAUAUUUGGUUGAACAGUUUCGUCAUUUUUCGUACCAUAGUCUCAAAAAUAGUGUGCCAUCGAACAGAAGCGAUGGACGCUUCAAAUGAGAAAAUAAAAUUGACUUUUCGUAAAUACUGAAGGGGCGGGGCCAGGCCUCAAAGUUCGAGCACUCGCCAAAAAAAUUCAAAUUGCUAUAAUUUCACAAAUGAAAGAAUUACAGUUAAAGUAACUUUCUAUGGAUAAUCGUCAUCGCCCCCCGAAGACAAAUGAAUGGUCGCUGGAUGAUGUCACACAAGCCCCGCCCCCUCAGGACUUAAAACGUCAAGUUUUACUGGGAAAUUUUCCAAAAUUCGCCCUGUCGAAUAAUCAGCCCGAAUUUGUAGCAGGUAACUGAAGAGAAGUUGGCGUUGCUUGACGUCACUUUAUGGGUGUUUUCUGCAGAAGGCGGGGCUGUGGCGACGCGGCGAAGUCAGGCGUACCGCCGUGACCAUACAUGUGCCUCCCAUGUCGUCAUUUCUAUAGAUACAGUCACGAAACGUCUUGUGAGUGAUCCUAGUCCGGCCCCCCAAAAGAUCUCAUGUGAACAUCAAAUGGGCGUGGCCUAUUUUCUGAAAUAGCGCCCCCUAGGUCCAUUAAAACUGUCAGCCCCAAGCCAUGCUUUGACUGAGGAGUACGAAAUUUGGUACACUAAUGUGGGGUCUCAGGACCUACAAAAAAGUCUCUUUGAGCCAAGUGCAAAGUCGCACAGGAAGUCGGCCAUUUUGGUCCAAUUACUCGAUUUAGUGGUUUUCACACACGUUAUUAGGAGAAUGAUGUCUCGUCGUCCUUUCCACCUAUCACCUUCAAACUCCUGCUAUAUAAUCUUAAGACAUAGAGGAAAAAAUUCAACCGUCGGAUUUUAUACAAGUAUAAAGGUGUGGGCGUGGCUAAGCCUCAAACUUUGACCUUUCGCCAUUACAUUACUUGACUUAACAACUCCCAUGUGCAUGAUCAGAUCUAUAUCAAACUCCGUCUGUGUGAUCAUUGACCACAUCUCAAGACAAUGACAAUGUGGACAGCUGACAUCACCUAUGCCCCGCCCCCUGACUACAGGAAGUCUAUUUUUUAAUGGUGAAAUGCCCAUAUUUGUCCCCUCUACUUUAGUCAACAUGACACUAAGGUCAUGCACUGUCUUCAUGAUGUUGUAAUGACCAUUCAGAUCUGAUAGCUUUUCAGAAAGGGAAGGGCUUUGAUGCCACGGCGAAUUCUGGCGUGACGCCGUGACCUUACGUUUGACUGUAACUUCCACUAACAACCUCCGAUCUGCCCGAGACUGAACAUGGCAAUCAACAAUCAUGCCCUUUAUUCAACGAGGCACACACCGUUGGUGAAAGUUGUGUAAUGUCACCACAGCGCCCCCUACACACCAUUAAAACUGUAAUAACUCCUACAGACGAGGUCGUAACUGCACCAAACUUGCUAUGUGUACUCACACAAUGGCACCCACCACAGUCCUGUGGUAAGUUGUUGAUAUUGCUUUAGCUCCGCCCCCUGACAGAUAUUAGGCCCUUAAUAACACAUGCAUGAUGCAAUUCACACCAAACUGCACACAAAUGACUGUCAUCAACCUACAAACUUCUUCAUGGAAUAAUUCUUAAAUUUGGGACAGCGCCCCCUAGAUACAAAAAACCUUUGUAACUUCUGCAAAAAAGUUCCAAACUACAUCAAACAUUGUGGGAGUCAUCACACAUCUGCAAUCAACACAUGUAUGUGAUCACUUGUUCAAUUCACUUUAACUCCACCCACUUACAGCUUUUUGUCUCUAGAUGACCCAUGCAACGUUUGAUUGAUUCCAAAUUAACAGAAAACCAUCUUUGAUGACCAAAGAUGACCUCUAUGGCAUUUACUUGUAAAUGGUCACAACGCCCCCUAGAUGGGUUCAAACUUUAUUAACUUCUAAAGUCAAAGUCAGAAUGGCAUUAUACUUGGCUUGUGACAUCACGUGACUGCACCAAACACAUUGAUGUGGUUGUUGAUUCAAAUCCCUGUAGCUCCGCCCCUUUCAGCUCACUGGCUUUAGAUAACACACACAACGUCCGUUUGAUGCCAAAAUAACAGAAAACUGUCCUUGUCAACCAAAGCUGACCUCAAUGGGAUUUUUCUGUAAUUGAUCACAGCGCCCCCUAGAUAACUUUAACUUUCGAAAACUUUAAUAAAUAUGGGCAAAAAAGCACUAAAGUUGGUCUGUGUCAUCACACCAACAGUGUGCUAAAGAUAAAGUAUGCCCUAGUGGUGAGACAUGUAAUAUAAUGGUAGGCUCGGAGGGGAUGCUGAUUCAGGGUGAGGUGUGGAUGAGGUGACUGUUAGCUUUUCUUGGUGUCAGGGUGGUGGACGUUUCAGUCCGUGGACGUGCCCUGGUGCCCCGUGCUGCCGGCCAGGACGGAGCGGCGGGGAGUUGGGUUUGGAGAGCAUCGGGGAUGGAGCGGAGGGGGUGCGGAAGGAGGGUGAGCAUCUUCGCUGCGAGGGCCGAACGACGCUGCUUGCAGCUUUAAUUAUUAUUUUUAUUUAUUAUUCCGGUGCCGCUUUGAAUGGCUUUUUGGGGACCUUAACAUACCCCAAAACUCACAAUAUUUUGCAUACUUGUCAGGCCUGGUGAAAAAUUUGAUAUUUUAAAGGUCCCAAAAAAAUCGCAAAGAAAUUGGCUGAACAGCGCCCCCUAGAAAAUGAAAAAAAACCCUCUCCAUAAAGCUUAGUUUAUCGUACCGUUAUGAAAUUUGGUACACUUAUAGUACUCAAUAGUCCGCACAGAAAAGUCUCUUGCAAGCAUGGUCAAUAUCAAACAGGAAGUCGGCCAUUUUGGGUUGAAAUGGCGAUUUUUUGCCGUUUUGGCCGUUUUUAGGGUCCGUUUCUGAUUGGAUUGCUCGAUCAUUUUUUGCACGAUCAUCUCAAAAAUUCUGUAAAAUUGCUCAGAAGAGAUGGGCGAACAAAAUGAGACAAUAAAAUUGACUUUUCGUAAAUACUGAAGGGGCGGGGCCAGGCCUCGAAGUUUGACUACUCGCCAAAAAUUUUUAAAUUGCUAUAACUUCAUAACUGAAUGGAAUAGAGUUACCAAACUUUCUGUGGUCAUUCGUCAUCACCUCACAAAGUAAAUUGAAUGGUCGCAUGAUGACAUCACACAAGCCCCGCCCCCUCAGGACCAAAAAGGUUAAGUUUUACUGUGAAAGGUCCCAAAUUGCCCCAUUUCACUAAAUCACCACAAAUUUGUAGCUGGUAACUCAAGACAAGUGGGGGUUGCUUGGUGUCACAUUAUGUGAGUUUUCGGCAGAGGGCGGGGCUGUGGCGGCGCGGCGAAGUCAGGCGUACCGCCGUGGCCUUACGUUUGCCUCCCAUUUCGUCAUUUCUAAAGAUAUCAUCACGAAACUUCUUGUGAGUGAUCCUAGU